AACCCAUGGUGAGGGCACCUUCUCAAUAGAUCCUUGUAUCUCUCCUAUGCAUCAUAGAGUGUUUCUAGAUCCAUCUGCAAAUUUCAUUUAUUUCACAUUUUAGUCC
This 106-nucleotide small nucleolar RNA is filed under the name Gossypium arboreum. Its description in RNAcentral is "Plant small nucleolar RNA R71". It matches the Rfam family "Plant small nucleolar RNA R71". From Rfam's summary of the family: R71 is a member of the C/D box family of snoRNAs containing the C (UGAUGA) and D (CUGA) box motifs. Multiple nearly identical copies of this snoRNA have been identified in Arabidopsis, and it is thought to function as a 2'-O-ribose methylation guide for 18S ribosomal RNA. The record is from Rfam by way of RNAcentral. Lineage: Eukaryota; Viridiplantae; Streptophyta; Magnoliopsida; Malvales; Malvaceae.